UAUCAAUUCUAUGUUUGCGAGGACGCUGCAUAGUUAGGAGUGGAGCUAUGUAAAAUGGAUAGAAAUUUGUUUUUAUAAGAUAUGGAUAAAGUAGAUUAAUCAAUCCUAGGAUUUUCAAUUCAGUAGGUUGGAUGAUUGAAUUAGUUGUGAAAAAUAAUUAAGUAGGGAAUGAUGGUUAGAAUUUGGAAUUUUAGAAGUAAAGCAUAAGUAAGUUGAAGAAGAUAUUAGAGGAGCCAGAUUGUGAUAGUCAUGAGCUGGGAUAAGCUUGGUUCUACCUCUUUGUUCUCUUUGUUUCUUUGUAAUUAAAGAAUAAUAGAUAUUUUCUGAAUAUUGUGAAGUAA
Molecule: long non-coding RNA, 341 nt
Filed under: Physcomitrium patens
Lineage: Eukaryota; Viridiplantae; Streptophyta; Bryopsida; Funariales; Funariaceae
Description: long non-coding RNA (PPAT_LNC014334)
Source: RNAcentral